GACGAACGCUGGCGGCGUUCUUAACACAUGCACGUCGAACGGAAAGGCCCUUCUUUUUUUGGUUGCUCGAGUGGCGAACGGGUGAGUAACCCGUGCGUAACCUGCCCUUGACUUUGGGAUAACUUCAGGAAACUGGGGCUACUACCGGAUCGGAGCUCCUGGUGCAUGGUGGGUGUUGGAAAGUUUCGGCGGUUGGGGAUGGACUCGCGGCUUAUCAGCUUGUUGGUGGGGUAGUGGCUUACCAAGGCUUUGACGGGUAGCCGGCCUGAGAGGGUGACCGGCCACAUUGGGACUGAGAUACGGCCCAGACUCCUACGGGAGGCAGCAGUGGGGAAUAUUGCACAAUGGGCGGAAGCCUGAUGCAGCAACGCCGCGUGCGGGAUGACGGCCUUCGGGUUGUAACCCGCUUUCGCCUGUGACGAAGCGUGAGUGACGGUAAUGGGUAAAGAAGCACCGGAUAACUACGUG
This 468-nucleotide ribosomal RNA is filed under the name uncultured bacterium. RNAcentral describes it as "partial 16S ribosomal RNA". It matches the Rfam family "Bacterial small subunit ribosomal RNA", at positions 28 to 507 of the family's 1533-position model. The record is from RNAcentral.